Molecule: transfer RNA, 64 nt
Filed under: Cryptomonas paramaecium
Lineage: Eukaryota; Cryptophyceae; Cryptomonadales; Cryptomonadaceae
Description: Cryptomonas paramecium tRNA
Source: RNAcentral
GGAAAGAAAGCACGCAGUAUACUCGCUCGGUCUGAUUGGGGUCUUAUAUGUGUACAUGUUAAUG